CUUACACCUGAAAAAUGUCUGCCAACACCAGAUCGUCUCGAUGCCAAACUCUAGCCCAAUCGACAUGACCUAGAAUAACAAAGCUACUCCAUACACCCAACUAAAGCAUUUACUAGUCUUAGUAUAGGCGAUAGAAAAGACACCAUUGGAGCGAUAGAGACUACGUACCGUAAGGGAAAGAUGAAAUAUUAGUGAAAUAAACUAAGCUAAAAACAGCAAAGAUCAACCCUUGUACCUUUUGCAUCAUGGUCUAGCAAGAAAAACCAAGCAAAAUGAAUUUAAGUUUGCCAUCCCGAAACCCAAGCGAGCUACUUACGAGCAGCUAUUUUGAGCGAACCCGUCUCUGUAGCAAAAGAGUGGGAUGACUUGUUAGUAGAGGUGAAAAGCCAAUCGAGCUGGGUGAUAGCUGGUUGCCUGUGAAACGAAUCUUAGUUCACUCUUAAUUCUUCUCCAAGGAAACCACAAAAACCCUAAUGAAGCGAAUUAAGGGCAAUUUAAAGGGGGUACAGCUCCUUUAAAAAAGAAUACAAUCUCUACGAGCGGAUAAGUAAUAAUUUACCAAACAUACUGUGGGCCCUCAAGCAGCCAUCAACAAAGAGUGCGUUAAAGCUCCACCUCCUAAAAAUAUAAGAACAAUACGACUCCCUCCUCAUUAACAGGCUAACCUAUAUCUAGAUAGGAGAAUUAAUGCUAGAAUGAGUAACCUGGGUCCUCCCUCUACGACGCAAGCUUACAUCGGCACAUUAUUAACAAACCACCAAUAUACGACUAAUCAAACAAGCAGAGUAUUAAGCACAUUGUUAACCCGACAGAGGAGCGUCCA
Molecule: ribosomal RNA, 823 nt
Filed under: Pyrrhula owstoni
Lineage: Eukaryota; Metazoa; Chordata; Aves; Passeriformes; Fringillidae
Description: Pyrrhula erythaca owstoni partial 16S ribosomal RNA
Rfam family: Bacterial large subunit ribosomal RNA (bases 269-690)
Source: RNAcentral